This 49-nucleotide non-coding RNA is filed under the name unclassified sequences. RNAcentral's name for it is "ssNA-helicase RNA". It matches the Rfam family "ssNA-helicase RNA". Rfam says of the family: Firmicutes, Actinobacteria (1 example). Downstream gene The record is from Rfam by way of RNAcentral.
UUGCCUAAGGGCUAGUAUUACCCUUAGGCAACUUCGAUAGCGUGUCGCA